GGGAUACAAACGUGGUUGAUAUAAGUGGUCUGUAUACAGAGUCUGCUAAUGGAAAAGAUACUUUGGAAGGUGCUGGAGACACUUCAGAAGUGAUGGAUACCUAGGCAGGCUCUGUGGAUGAGGAGAAUGGGUGGCAGUUGGGAGAAGUCAAGUUGCAAUGCAGAAUAUGUGCAAAGUGUUUCAUCGCUCUCACCUUUGGAAUAGACACAUCGUCAUGUCUGCCUUUUAUGACCAACUACAUCUUCCACUGAAAUGUAUGCCAUCACAGUGGGAAUACCUGCUUUCUCCGGAAGCCAGCAAAUUUAAAAGUAAUGAGCCUUAGUGUUUUGGCGAACUUGACGAGGUAGUCUCGAAGACAGGAUGAACAUCCAAAAACCAUGUUCUCCAAAGAUACAGAUUUUAUACCAGUUAUUGAUAAAUACUGGGAAUGUAUAUACUAGACAGAGACCUGGAAAAGUGACUUGGCCCAAUAACAUUGUCAAAACAAUGAGUAAGAAAAGAGAUGUGUUCUUGUAAAGGAACACCCUGAUCCAGGAAGCAAAGACCCAGAAGAAGAUCACCCCAAGUUGGGACUUUUGGAUCAGAAUCUUAGUAAUAUUGAUCCUGCUUAUGACAAAUAGAAACAAAGCAGUGCUGUGUCUGUUAGUGGGAACCUAAAUGGGGGAUGGCAGCAGGAAGCAGUGGGAAAGCAAGCAGAGCCAAGCAUAUGUAGUAAGAUGGUGGAACAAAAGGGACCACAAAGAAGUGACCCUUUAUUUCUGCUCAGCAUCUCCCUCCUCAUGGCUAUCCUUUGGAACAUCCAUUUAACAAAGAUGGCUAUCGGUAUAUUCUAGCUGAGCCCGAUCCUCAUGUCCCUGACCCAGAGAAGCUUGAACUUGACUGCUGGGCAGGAAAACCUAUUCCUGGAGACCUUUAUGGAGCUUGCUUAUAGAAACGAGUCUCGUUAGCCCUACAUGAUCGA
RNAcentral lists this long non-coding RNA (961 nucleotides) under Mus musculus (house mouse). RNAcentral describes it as "long non-coding RNA chr2:40958390-40959351". The record is from RNAcentral. Lineage: Eukaryota; Metazoa; Chordata; Mammalia; Rodentia; Muridae.